CUGCUCCUCUGCCUCCAAACUCUUGCUCUGGUUCUGCAACACUAGGCCUGUUCCUGUCUAGUGCUGCUUGACAACCUCUCAAGUAUGCUGCCCUGCACAAUGGAAACCAUAUUGAAAAGGAAAAGCAGUCGUUGCAAAGAGAGGACACAGUCGCCGGAGUCCUGCUUCUGACAACCACAGACAGACACAGUCAGACAGACAGACACUACCCUGUGCAGUCUAAGACAGGGACUGGGUCAGAACCAGAACCAGCCCUAGAGGGGGUCAUUCUAAAGCGGCCUCUCCCACUGAGAGACAGCCAAACCGACAACAUCUCUGGACUUAAUUCUUAGUAGCGGGAUCUGAUUAUGGACUGUGGAAUACUUAAAGGUGAAGAAUGUUGCCAAAGCUAUUUGAUAUUAACUUUGUUUUAAGAUAUGUAUUUCCAUAUUUCCUUUGCUUAGAAAAGGAAGAAAUACACUCAAAAUCUUUUUGAUCCACUAUAGCUAGCUCCGUUAGUUAACGGAUGUUCCAGUAAUGCUUAGUGUUAUCUGUCACCAAUAUAAACAUUUCAAUAAGCUGUAUUGAUCUAAGGAGGUGCAAUUUUACACAGGCACAGAGGGCUCAUAACCCCUUCAUUUAGAAUUAAGUAUGAACUUGAAAUGUUCUCAUUUUAUUAAAAUUCAGGUUUCUUAUCUCUCCCUGUCAUUGGUUGCCCUAUACUCAAUCACUAUCAGCCUAGAUCCCGUAACUUUCCUUUGAUGUUCUGCAUAAUCCUUAAAAGCCGAAAGCGAUAGAAAGUAAUUGAACACACCCACGGUAUUGUAUGGUAUGUGAUGAAAUGAUUCAUACCCUGAAGUGCAUUAUUAGCUGCUACACUUUAUAAAUGAUCCAUCCCUUCUCUGUCAUGACUCCUCUCUCAGAUGUCUACAAAGAUGGACCAUGCAAUAAGAUGGACAUGUUUCAAUAAAAGGUUUUUAAAGGUUA
This is a long non-coding RNA of Coregonus clupeaformis (lake whitefish), 966 nucleotides long. RefSeq lists it as uncharacterized. The record is from RefSeq and is a predicted model, not a curated record. NCBI's taxonomy places the organism in Eukaryota, Metazoa, Chordata, Actinopteri, Salmoniformes, Salmonidae. The transcript is spliced from 2 exons.